UGUGGUGUCGCUGGCUGGUAAUCUGGAAAUGGCCUGUUUAUUUUCACAGAUCUGUAGAAGAGACUCAAUAGUUGUAAAGGAUGGAAGGGUGCAAAGCAGCUUGGAACUCACAGCAAAGGAAACCGGCACAAAAAAUUUAGAUAAAACAGCUUGUGACCAUGGGAUCUGCUCCUUGUGUCUACUGAACAGAGGUCUCUAAGUCCACUGCUGACAGGAAAAUCUUCAGUGGUUCCAGAGACAAGCUGCUGGAAAUCCUGCACAUUUAUCUUCUAGAAGGAAGUAAACUGAUUAGGAUAGUGGUCCCUUCAGAAAGAACCUCCCCUAAAACUUUAAAGGACUCCAAAUUAAGCCAUGUUCAUAUCUGGGACCCUAAAGUGGCUCAUAAAAGUUAGGGACCGCCUGCUUAAUGUUAGGUGAUUGCAAAAGCUUUAAGAUUCAAAGGGGGGAGUGAAGGUGGGGAAGGUGAUGGUGAAUAAAUUGUGAGAGCCUCCCA
Molecule: long non-coding RNA, 493 nt
Filed under: Vulpes vulpes (red fox)
Lineage: Eukaryota; Metazoa; Chordata; Mammalia; Carnivora; Canidae
Description: lncRNA (ENSVVUG00000022522.1)
Source: RNAcentral